AGAGUCUGAGCCAGUGCUCAGGACGAACGCUGGCGGCGUGCCUAAUACAUGCAAGUCGAACGAACUCUGGUAUUGAUUGGUGCUUGCAUCAUGAUUUACAUUUGAGUGAGUGGCGAACUGGUGAGUAACACGUGGGAAACCUGCCCAGAAGCGGGGGAUAACACCUGGAAACAGAUGCUAAUACCGCAUAACAACUUGGACCGCAUGGUCCGAGUUUGAAAGAUGGCUUCGGCUAUCACUUUUGGAUGGUCCCGCGGCGUAUUAGCUAGAUGGUGGGGUAACGGCUCACCAUGGCAAUGAUACGUAGCCGACCUGAGAGGGUAAUCGGCCACAUUGGGACUGAGACACGGCCCAAACUCCUACGGGAGGCAGCAGUAGGGAAUCUUCCACAAUGGACGAAAGUCUGAUGGAGCAACGCCGCGUGAGUGAAGAAGGGUUUCGGCUCGUAAAACUCUGUUGUUAAAGAAGAACAUAUCUGAGAGUAACUGUUCAGGUAUUGACGGUAUUUAACCAGAAAGCCACGGCUAACUACGUGCCAGCAGCCGCGGUAAUACGUAGGUGGCAAGCGUUGUCCGGAUUUAUUGGGCGUAAAGCGAGCGCAGGCGGUUUUUUAAGUCUGAUGUGAAAGCCUUCGGCUCAACCGAAGAAGUGCAUCGGAAACUGGGAAACUCGAGUGCAGAAGAGGACAGUGGAACUCCAUGUGUAGCGGUGAAAUGCGUAGAUAUAUGGAAGAACACCAGUGGCGAAGGCGGCUGUCUGGUCUGUAACUGACGCUGAGGCUCGAAAGUAUGGGUAGCAAACAGGAUUAGAUACCCUGGUAGUCCAUACCGUAAACGAUGAAUGCUAAGUGUUGGAGGGUUUCCGCCCUUCAGUGCUGCAGCUAACGCAUUAAGCAUUCCGCCUGGGGAGUACGGCCGCAAGGCUGAAACUCAAAGGAAUUGACGGGGGCCCGCACAAGCGGUGGAGCAUGUGGUUUAAUUCGAAGCUACGCGAAGAACCUUACCAGGUCUUGACAUACUAUGCAAAUCUAAGAGAUUAGACGUUCCCUUCGGGGACAUGGAUACAGGUGGUGCAUGGUUGUCGUCAGCUCGUGUCGUGAGAUGUUGGGUUAAGUCCCGCAACGAGCGCAACCCUUAUUAUCAGUUGCCAGCAUUAAGUUGGGCACUCUGGUGAGACUGCCGGUGACAAACCGGAGGAAGGUGGGGAUGACGUCAAAUCAUCAUGCCCCUUAUGACCUGGGCUACACACGUGCUACAAUGGAUGGUACAACGAGUUGCGAACUCGCGAGAGUAAGCUAAUCUCUUAAAGCCAUUCUCAGUUCGGAUUGUAGGCUGCAACUCGCCUACAUGAAGUCGGAAUCGCUAGUAAUCGCGGAUCAGCAUGCCGCGGUGAAUACGUUCCCGGGCCUUGUACACACCGCCCGUCACACCAUGAGAGUUUGUAACACCCAAAGUCGGUGGGGUAACCUUUUAGGAACCAGCCGCCUAAGGUGGGACAGAUGAUUAGGGUG
Molecule: ribosomal RNA, 1510 nt
Filed under: Lactiplantibacillus plantarum
Lineage: Bacteria; Bacillati; Bacillota; Bacilli; Lactobacillales; Lactobacillaceae
Description: bacterial SSU rRNA
Rfam family: Bacterial small subunit ribosomal RNA
Source: RNAcentral